GUAUGUUUAAAUUCGUUUAAUCACCUAAAUAGGCUAAAGUUUGAAUAUUGCUUGUUGUGCUGUGAUUUUUUAUUUAUGAGUUUUUUUGUGAUAGUUGUUUGUAAUUACUGAAAUUCAGAGGUCUAAAAGAAAUGGAAAAAAUGGAGGAAUCUGUUUUGUUUGGUUGGAAAUACAUUAAAAUGGGGAAUAAGUUUAAAUGUUGGGGUAAGAAUUGGAUGAUAAAAAGUUUAAAAGGGUCUGGGAAUAAAAGAAGCUUCUAGACCCAAUCUGUUAAGAAAAGAGAUGAGAGCGAGAGGAAAUAUCCAAACACUGGACAGCGGUCCAUUUUUCUAUUUUAGAAGAUGCCAAUUUCCUAAUUUUAAGGGGAUGCUGGCAGAUUCCCUCAACCUCUCUCGUUCUUUAUCAUUUUGCACUCUUAUACCCUAUAAAAGAGACCUCACACUCCCUCGGACUGGACACACGAAAAAUACCUCAGAAAAUUGAAGACUAUCUUUCAGAAAUUCCUCUUUUCAUUCUCAUUCUGAUUUUCGUUUCUUCUUGAGUUUAAAUCUAUAAAUAGAAAAAAAAAAGAGGAAGAAUUUCAAAGCUGUUGGUUCUUUCCACUUUGCUAUUGGUCUUUUUUUUUGCUCGAAUUAUGAUGGGAUUUCUAGUUGGUUGUUGUUUCUCUUGUUCUUGAAUUGCUGGGAUUCUUCUUUUGUUGGCCACAUUUCAUUUUGUCGAUCUUUUACUCAUGACAAUGGUAUCCAAGGUCAUUAUCUCCCGACGCACAAUGAAUUCUCAGUUGUGGGGAAUCAGAAGGAAGUUUGUUGAUAACAUGUACCUGAAACUUCGUAGUAAAGAUGCAUUUUUUUGCUAUUGAAAGGUUAAGGGGCAUUAACAACAAGAAGAUGUUGAUCAAGGAGAGAGUCAUAUUGAGAAAAUAAUAAGUAUGGCAAAAAGUAAAGGAGGUUCUAGAGUUUUAUACACAAAAUCUUGAUAUGGAUUCCUGCAAUUUGUACCUUUCUGAAAUCCUUUAAUGUUUUUUUUACACUCUCGUUAAA
Molecule: non-coding RNA, 1040 nt
Organism: Nicotiana tabacum (common tobacco)
Lineage: Eukaryota; Viridiplantae; Streptophyta; Magnoliopsida; Solanales; Solanaceae
Source: RefSeq, a predicted model, not a curated record